Molecule: unclassified non-coding RNA, 305 nt
Filed under: plant metagenome
Description: partial contains 5.8S ribosomal RNA, internal transcribed spacer 2, and large subunit ribosomal RNA
Rfam family: 5.8S ribosomal RNA (bases 1-105)
Source: RNAcentral
GAAAUGCGAUAAGUAAUGUGAAUUGCAGAAUUCAGUGAAUCAUCGAAUCUUUGAACGCACAUUGCGCCCGCCAGUAUUCUGGCGGGCAUGCCUGUUCGAGCGUCAUUUCAACCAUCAAGCCCCGGGCUUGUGUUGGGGACCUGCGGCUGCCGCAGGCCCUGAAAACCAGUGGCGGGCUCGCUGUCACACCGAGCGUAGUAGAUUCUCAUCUCGCUCAGGGCGUGCUGCGGGUUCCGGCCGUAAAACAGCCUUAUUUUACCCAAGGUUGACCUCGGUUCAGGUAGGAAGACCCGCUGAACUUAAGC